AUAAUAUAUUGAUUGAUUGUAAUCAUUUCAAGUGAGAUGUAUUCUGAGAAAAAACACUGUUGUUAAAUAAACCACAGUUUACAUAUUUCAACUCAGGUAGUAGAUGAGGUUCUAUGGAUGACUGCUAACCAAAUCCCCCCCUGGACGCACACAUGCACGCACACACACGGGAUGGUGUGCUACGGACCACUGCUAACCAAAUAAACCUCACCUUACCUUCCCAUUGUUUGGCUAAUAUAGGGUUGUAUUCAUAAGGCACCAAUUGAAAGAAAACAGAUUGAAACAGUAUGACUACAUGAUCUUACCCAAUAACAAACAUUUCUUUUUUUUAUCCCCUUGCAAAAAGUUGCUACAUUUUUUCUGCUGUGUGCCCUAAUGAACAUGACCCAGGUUUGCAUGUUGUCCAGACAGAGAUAAUAAUAAGAGGAUGAGAAGAAGAAGAUCCCAUCACACACACUGAGAGAGAGGAGAGGAGCGAGGAAUUCAGCAGAGGACAAGAUAGCCCUCUCAAUACAGAUCCAUGGAGUGGAGUAGGAGAGCUAUCCCUGUCUCUGCAGGACAGACCAACACCUUCCAGUGUAAUGAGAUGGAGGGUCGCUAUGUUGUUGUGGUCAUCCCUGACAGGAAGGAAUAUCUCACUCUGUGUGAGUUGGAAGUAUAUGGCACUCCUGCAGGUGUUCCAGUGGUGGUCCGACUCCCUGCAGUAGUAGCAGAGACCCUGUUGACGGCGGCGUUGACGUUCCUCAGGGGGAAUGUGCAUCGUGCCCAACUCCAUGGUCUCAGUCUUAGUAAAACAAUCACCUUUUUGGACAGCACAUUGUUAAAGAAAUAUGUCAAAUAAUGUCAAAUAAAAUCAUACUGUCAAGUCAUAAUGAGUUUUGUGGUAUUCCUGGUAUUUUGCACAGAUUUGAACUAUUUUGCACCAUAAAAAAUAUCAGCAACUGUAUUUCAACACCCAAGUCAAAGAGAACAGUGGUGAGAAUGAAGAUCCAAUCAGAUGCUGAUCUGACGGACCAGGCGGUCGGUGAA
Molecule: long non-coding RNA, 1029 nt
Filed under: Salmo salar (Atlantic salmon)
Lineage: Eukaryota; Metazoa; Chordata; Actinopteri; Salmoniformes; Salmonidae
Description: lncRNA (ENSSSAG00000061994.2)
Source: RNAcentral